Macrobrachium nipponense is the source of this 903-nucleotide long non-coding RNA. RefSeq lists it as uncharacterized. NCBI's taxonomy places the organism in Eukaryota, Metazoa, Arthropoda, Malacostraca, Decapoda, Palaemonidae. The transcript is spliced from 5 exons. The record is from RefSeq and is a predicted model, not a curated record.
AUAUUAUUGGAACGGUUGGAACUUCCACUUCCAAGUUCCACCAAGUUUCAGACUUCCAGUUCCAGCUGUCGAAAAGUGUGGGUUACUGGCCAAUUCUCAGUGUCUCUAGUUCUUCCCUAAGUGAUAUUUUUUCCUGAAUUUAUUCGUCCAGAUUAAAUACAUUGAAAAUUAUUUUAAGGAGCAAGGAAUGCUUUUACAGGAGUUGGAGAUCGCAAUUUUAAAGCAAAAGGAAAGGUAUUAAGACAGAUAUGUGCUUCCACCAGACUACUUCAUAACCAAAAGACAUCGUAAAAGAAAAUUUAGAACACUUAGUAAUGGACGACCACCACAGCCUGAAGAGAACAUUCUGGUUGUUAAUACAAGACCACCAAAGCCUUGAAGCUGGAGGACCUGGAAUUAAGCAGGGAAACCACAGCCUCGAAGCUGGUGGAAUAAAUUGCAAGAGGACUUCAGUUUGAACGUUUACUAUAUAUUGAAGCCAAUAACACUUGAGAAGUCCAAGACGACUAUAACCUUAAGCCUGGAGAAUGAUAUUCUGGUGGUUAAUGUAAGACCACCACAGACUUUAACCUGGAAUUAAGCAAGAAAUUCACAGCCUCGAAGCAGGAGUAGUUCAUUGCAAGAGGACUUCGUUUCAACGUUUACUAUUAAUAUAGAUUGAAGCCGGUAAUCCAGGGCCUCUUGAGUUAAUCUACCCGUCUGGACCAAACAUUAUCAAAAGAAACUACAGUAGUGCCAUCAAGUGUGCCUGGCGUAAUCGAGGUUACUGAAAUGGGUGUUACUGUGUUGUGGUCCUUCCGAGGUGCACCCAUCAGCCUUUUCCUUAACCUCCAUUCUUCCUUCUUGGUGUGCUACGCAGAUGCUUCAUACCGGAUGUGUCAACCCACGGUCAGAACCCUAAAA